This is a long non-coding RNA of Tupaia belangeri chinensis (Chinese tree shrew), 105 nucleotides long. RefSeq lists it as uncharacterized. NCBI's taxonomy places the organism in Eukaryota, Metazoa, Chordata, Mammalia, Scandentia, Tupaiidae. The record is from RefSeq and is a predicted model, not a curated record. The transcript is spliced from 2 exons.
UUAACGUAAACCGGUAGAGAAGUGCGCGAGCCAGGAAAACCGGCGCCCGAGUGGUGAGUCUGUGACCAGGGCAGGUUAAAAUUCUUCGAUGUCUGGGGUUUCCCU